GCUGAUUCCACCAGUGACUGAGCACAGACCAGCACCAUGGAGCUGGGGCUGCGCUGGGUUCUCCUUGUUGCUCUGUUGAAAGGUGUGCAGUGUGAGGUGCAGCUGGUGGAGUCUGGGGGAGGCUUGGUGCAGCCUGGGGGGUCCCUGAGACUCUCCUGUGCAGCCUCUGGAUUCACCUUCAGUAGCUAUGGCAUGAACUGGGUCCGCCAGGCUCCAGGGAAGGGGCUGGAGUGGCUCUCAUACAUCAGUGGUGAUAGUAGUUACAUAAAGUAUGCAGACUCCGUGAAGGGCCGCUUCACCACCUCCAGAGACAACAGCAAGAGCACAGUUUACCUGCAGAUGAACAGCCUGAGAGUGGAGGACAUGGCCAUCUAUUACUGUGCUAGAGACACAGUGCAGGAAAUCCAGUGUGGGCCAGACACAAACCUCCCUGCAGGGCGCUCAGCACCCCAAGGAAUUCCUGUGUGCUAUGCACCCGGUGUGGAGCGGCUGCCUUAUCUAAUGCAGGACUGA
Molecule: non-coding RNA, 513 nt
Organism: Dipodomys ordii (Ord's kangaroo rat)
Lineage: Eukaryota; Metazoa; Chordata; Mammalia; Rodentia; Heteromyidae
Source: the annotation of a RefSeq genome assembly